RNAcentral lists this ribosomal RNA (245 nucleotides) under uncultured bacterium. RNAcentral's name for it is "partial 16S ribosomal RNA". It matches the Rfam family "Bacterial small subunit ribosomal RNA", at positions 524 to 768 of the family's 1533-position model. The record is from RNAcentral.
UACGUAGGGAGCAAGCGUUGUUCGGAAUCACUGGGCGUAAAGGGAGAGUAGGCGGGAGAAUAAGUUAGAAGUUUAAUGUAUCGGCUUAACCGGUAAUCUGCUUCCAAUACUGUUCUUCUUGAGUAUGGGAGAGGGAGAUGGAAUUCCAGGUGUAGCGGUGGAAUGCGUAGAUAUCUGGAAGAACACCAGCUGCGAAGGCGGUCUCCUGGCCCAAUACUGACGCUGAUGCUCGAAAGCUAGGGGAG